This 969-nucleotide long non-coding RNA is filed under the name Hordeum vulgare. RNAcentral describes it as "long non-coding RNA (HVUL_LNC008751)". The record is from RNAcentral. Lineage: Eukaryota; Viridiplantae; Streptophyta; Magnoliopsida; Poales; Poaceae.
UUACUUUGGCACGACGGCCUCGACACGGAUAGAAGCGCAUCUCGUCAUUUCGCAAGAAUGGAUAUCAUUACAAGUACAUGUACUGAAAAUAUGAGUAUAUGGAAUUGGCUUACACUCGCCACAAGCUACAUCAGACUCACAUCAGUACAAUACAUAAACAUCAUGAAGAAGAGCAGGCUCCGACUACGGACGAAAAACAAACGACAAAAUAACGACGUCCAUCCUUGCUAUCCCAGGCUACCGGUCUGGAACCCAUCCUAGAUCGACGAAGAAGAAGAAGAAGAAACUCCAAAUGAACAAUCAUCGUGCUCACAUCUCAAAAUCACUUUACCUGUACCUACAACUGGUGUUGUAGUAAUCUGUGAGCCAUAGGGGACUCAACUAUCUCAUUUCCAAAGGUAUAAAGACUAGUAAAGCUUAAUCGGUGAGCUAUGUUAAGUGGUGAGGCUGCAGCAAGCGACUAAGCAUUUAUUUAGUGGCUAACUUACGAGUACAAGAAUAAAGAGGUUGGAAGAUCUACGCACAGCGGAAGUGAACUACUGAUGAUCAAAUGAAUGACCCUGAACACCUACUUAUGUCAAACAUAACCCCACCAUGUCCUCGAUAGGAGAAGGAGCUCACGAAAGAGACAAUCAUGGUUACACACUCAGUUGACAUAUUUUAAUUAAGUUAACUUCAAGUUAUCUAGAUCCGGAUGUUAAACAAAGCUUCCACGUUGCCACGUAACUGCAGGCACGACUUUCCGAAAGAUUUAACCCUGUAGGGGUGCUCCAACUACUCCAUCACAAACUACCACACGCUCCGACGAAAUGACCUCGAUCAGGGAAACCCGUGAUUUCCUCGAUUCCAUUGGAAAACCUCAACCUCGAGUUAGCUCGAAGCAUCCUUGGAAUCCCUCGCACAAGAUGUUCGAUAAAGGUAAAACAAUUCCAGCAAGGCCGCCCGGCGUGUCGACGAACCUGAUAGGAG